UCUCUCAAAACGCACACUCUCCGGCGAUUUCUCCAUCUCUCCGGCGAUUCCGGCCCUUCUCCACCUUUCUUCACCGGCGAAUCCUCUUCUCACCCUCAUAUCUCUUCCCCAAGCCCCAAAUCAUGUAAGAAUCAUCCCAAACCUUCCUUUAUAUCAAUUGUUUAGGGUUUUUGAAGUUAGAUCUCGGAUUUUAGGUUGUUUGAUUGAAAAUAUUAGGAUUGAAUGGAUAGUUUAGGAUAUAUAAGUUAAGAUUGUUGUUUGGAUUGUUGUUUUAGUUUUUUUUGGAACAUUUUUUGAUUUUAAAAAACGUUUUUUGAUUUUUAAAAACGUUUUUUGAUUUUUAAAAACGUUUUUUGAUAAUUUAAAACGUUUUUUUUUUAUUUUUAAAAACGUUUUUCAAGUUUCCAGUAAUGAAAUAUAUAUAUAAAACGUUUUUAAAAUUUUUUAAAAAUAUUUAACAACAUUUUUCUAUAUUUAUAAUUUUUUUAUAAUUUUGUAUACAUAUAUAUAUAUAAAUCAUGUAUAAUAAAAAUUUUAAAAUUUUUUAUAAUUUUUUAUAAGUUUCCACUAAUAAACUAUGUAUAAUAAAACGUUUUUAAAAAAAAAUAUAUAAAUAUUUAACAACAUUUUUCUUCAUUUAUAAAUUUUUAACAACAUUUUUCUAUAUUUAUAAAUUUUUUAUAAUUUUGUAUACAUAUAUAUACAUAUAAAUCAUGUAUGUAUAAUAAAAAAUUUUAAAAUUUUUUAUUAUUUUUUAUAAGUUUCUAGUAAUAAACUAUGUAUAAUAAAAGGUUUAAUAGUUUUUUUUAAAACGUUUAUAAAACCUUUUGUAAAUAUAUAAAUGAAAACAUUAAAAGGUUAAAUGUAUUAAUUUUUUUUUUUAGGGCCGAGGAUGAAGCCCGCCCCGCAGCCCGUCUUCGACGUAGUUCGGUGAGCAGUUCCCGUGCAUCGGGAUCGUCUCAUGACUCGGUUCCCGCAUAUAUUCCCGCUCCAGCUCCCGCUGCCCCUCACGCUGCCCCUCACGCUGCUGCUCAACAGGAUCCGGGGGUCAUGCCGGUUCAUCUAUUGGUUCAACAACCAGGUCGAGAGCAUCUCCCGUUUCUCCAACCCAACCCACGACGAGGCCAUAG
This 1130-nucleotide long non-coding RNA is filed under the name Brassica napus (rape). RNAcentral's name for it is "long non-coding RNA (BNAP_LNC024282)". Lineage: Eukaryota; Viridiplantae; Streptophyta; Magnoliopsida; Brassicales; Brassicaceae. The record is from RNAcentral.